This 333-nucleotide ribosomal RNA is filed under the name Triticum aestivum (bread wheat). RNAcentral's name for it is "partial small subunit ribosomal RNA". Lineage: Eukaryota; Viridiplantae; Streptophyta; Magnoliopsida; Poales; Poaceae. The record is from RNAcentral.
UGGGAGGAACACUGGUUUGGUAAUGCUACCUUGGCUACCCAAUAUUGGGAUAUAUAUAGUUUAGCUAAUGAGCAUAAUGCCACCAUUGAUAAGAUUUGGGAUGGAAACACUCUUAGGCUCACCUUCAGAAGAUGUUUUACUCAGGAGCGGAUGACUCUGUGGUUUGAACUCCUGGAGAUUGUGAAUACUAUUCAACUCAAUGAUCAGGAGGAUACCCAGGUUUGGAAUAUGAACUCCAAAGGGGUAUACACUGUUAAAUCUUUCUACAAGUUUGUUAAUUUUAGGGGAGUGUUGCCAGUUAGCUCCCCUGCCAUUUGGAAUAUCAAGAUUCCC